This 484-nucleotide ribosomal RNA is filed under the name uncultured bacterium. RNAcentral describes it as "partial 16S ribosomal RNA". It matches the Rfam family "Bacterial small subunit ribosomal RNA", at positions 30 to 507 of the family's 1533-position model. The record is from RNAcentral.
AUUGAACGCUGGCGGCAGGCCUAACACAUGCAAGUCGAGCGGUUGAGGGGAGCUUGCUCCCUGAUUUAGCGGCGGACGGGUGAGUAAUGCCUAGGAAUCUGCCUGGUAGUGGGGGAUAACGUUCCGAAAGGAACGCUAAUACCGCAUACGUCCUACGGGAGAAAGCAGGGGACCUUCGGGCCUUGCGCUAUCAGAUGAGCCUAGGUCGGAUUAGCUAGUUGGUGAGGUAAUGGCUCACCAAGGCGACGGUCCGUAACUGGUCUGAGAGGAUGAUCAGUCACACUGGAACUGAGACACGGUCCAGACUCCUACGGGAGGCAGCAGUGGGGAAUAUUGGACAAUGGGCGAAAGCCUGAUCCAGCCAUGCCGCGUGUGUGAAGAAGGUCUUCGGAUUGUAAAGCACUUUAAGUUGGGAGGAAGGGCUGCUGGUUAAUACCCUGCAGUUUUGACGUUACCAACAGAAUAAGCACCGGCUAACUUCGUG